CACACACACACACACGUCCCAACCCCAGCUGGGCCUGGGACCUUCCACUGCUCUGAGCCCCUUUCAGCCCCCUUCCUCCUCUAGCUUUGGGAAUGAGGGGGAAGUCAUCUCAAAUUGAUUAGUGUGUUAGUACUAGUACUCGUUUUCGUUUUGGUUUUAGUUUUAUUUCCGCCACCAUUAAUAAUAAGAUAGAGAAUAAAAGUUUAUCGUGGAAAGGUGUUUCGGGUGUGGCUCUCUCUACCUCCCCACUCCCGGGGCAGCGGCCGGGGAAGGGUGGGAUCAGUACCCCAGCUGGCUGGGAGUGUCAAGGUGAGCGUCCAGCGCGGUGCAGGGCUCCUGUCAGGAAGACACAAGGCGGAACUUGUGUCCCAUUCCUGGCCAGGUCCUCAAUCCUUCUCUCAGGAAAUCUUCACGUUUAAUAGCCAACCACUCUUGGAAUAGUGGGGGUGAUUUCGGUGAUGCGAGAGGGGCACGGUCCAAAUCCUGUCUCCUACAGCCAGGCCCAGCCACCAGAACUCAUCCCUCUCCAAGCAGUGACAGAAGGGGCAGGAGGCAAAAGGAUCCCGAUCUGCUGCUAAGGGGCGCAUAGAUCCGGCGCCCUCCUGUCCCCAAGCGCGACCGGCGGGAGGCCAAAUGCAUAGCUCCAGCUCUAGGUCUGAAGGACAAGUUCCUUUCUCCCUGGCGGUGGAAUCUCGCACCACUCUAUCCCAGGUGGCCUGGCCUCGUCUUUCUCCCAGCACCUGCAGCUUCAGGAAGUCUCUGUUAAACCACAGAAUGGUCAUUUCUCCUUCAUUUAAAUGAGGUUUUGCGCAGCCCUGAAUUAUUCACCCCUGAGAUUGAACAUCAACAAUUUCUCUGUUUCUACCCUGCACCAAAGCAGUUCUGAACUCCCCAACCUGUGCAGCUAACUGUGUCCGGGAGCCAUGCGGUGAGGGCCAAGAGGAGGAAACUCGUGGUUUUGAACAUGAACUGAUUUGAGGGGGUCAGGAUCUGAGAGCUCUGAGGUUGAGCCCAGUAAGCACCAAAGGCAUUGGGCUGAAUGUGCUAGACCAGGAAGAGGGCAUAGGGGAGAGAGUAGGAACAGCCGAGGUUUCUGAGACUCCCAGCGCUCCCCUGGAGGAGAGAACCCUCUUCCCCUCCCUCCUGCCCACCCCAAGGGUCUAGCUCUCCUUAGCCACCCAGAGUUGAGUAUGGCGCCAGCGCGGUGACAGUGGCUGAGGAGCACAUGGACCCUAUCAGCCCACCCUGGGGAGCCAUGGCUGCGGAGGCCCCGACCCCUUUGCCUCCGCUGUAGGGCCAGAGAGCAUCCCUGGCUCCUAAUCCACCUGUCUAAAUGUAUCUGUCAGGAGUGACUGGCUCAUAAUUCCUGGACUCUCUAGAGAGAGCACGCGGUGGGGCCACAGACAAGAAUUACUCCUGGAAAAAGAAAAAUCAGGUUUAAAAGAAGUGAACUCUUCCUCUCCGGCGGCAUGAACACAGUACAGUCUCUGGCUCUGGGAGGUCCUGGAGACCUGGAGGAGGUUUGAGGGUGAGGAGUCAACAGGCACACUCUAAAGACGAGGAAAUAAAGCCGGUCGUGACACCGUGAGAGCUGGUUCGCCCAACUACCCUUUCAGGGGAACGUCCACCCCACCUCUGCUGCCGAGCUUGGAAAAGUGGCAAGGAGUCGCAGUCCAGGACAAAACUCCGCCCCCGUCCCCGUGAAGGCCGCCCGUGGCUGGGGGCUACUGUAGAGGGUGGAGUUUCCCAGAGGCUACAGGAAGUACGUCAUCUUAGCAGAUCAAAUGCAGAAGCAGUUAUGAGAAUCCAGCUAUCUUCUAUUAAGCCAGACAUUAAAAUAAUUUGGGAAAGAAAGAGAGAGCAAAAUCAAUCAGAAGAAUGGAGAACUGGCUGUGCAAGGUGGCUCACGUUUGUAAUCCCAGCACUUUGAGAGGCCAAGGUGAGAGCCCAGGAGUUCAAGACCAGCCUGGACAACAUAGAGAGACCUUAUCUCUACUAAAAAAUAAAAAUAAAUUAGUUGGGCAUGGUGGUGUACACCUGUAGUCCCACCUAUUCAGGAGGCUGAGGUCAGAGGAUUGCUUGAGCCCAGGAGUUCAAGGCUACAGUGAGUUAUGACCAUACCACUGCACUCCAACCUAGGAGACAGAGUGAGACCCUGUCUCGAAAAAAGGAGGGAGGACAACAGCCUCAUAUUCCCACCACUAACUUCCCAGCCCAGCUGCAUCUGUCUCCAUGCAGCCUCCUUCCCUCCAGCUCCAUACAUAAAUUGA
Molecule: long non-coding RNA, 2270 nt
Filed under: Homo sapiens (human)
Lineage: Eukaryota; Metazoa; Chordata; Mammalia; Primates; Hominidae
Description: HSALNT0265370
Source: RNAcentral